RNAcentral lists this ribosomal RNA (462 nucleotides) under uncultured bacterium. Its description in RNAcentral is "bacterial SSU rRNA". It matches the Rfam family "Bacterial small subunit ribosomal RNA", at positions 997 to 1446 of the family's 1533-position model. The record is from RNAcentral.
UAAUGUGAAAGCAUUUUGUGUUGUAAGGCUUGCCUUACAUAGUCAGUACAGGUGCUGCAUGGCUGUCGUCAGCUCGUGCCGUGAGGUGUCCGGUUAAGUCCGGUAACGAGCGCAACCCCUAUGUUUAGUUGCCAGCACGUAAGGUGGGAACUCUAAAGAGACUGCCGGCGACAAGCCGGAGGAAGGCGGGGACGACGUCAAGUCAUCAUGGCCCUUAUGCCUUGGGCUACACACAUGCUACAAUGGCGGAUACAAUGGGUUGCCAAACCGUGAGGUGGAGCCAAUCCCAUCAAAGUCCGUCUCAGUUCGGAUUGCAGGCUGCAACUCGCCUGCAUGAAGUUGGAAUCGCUAGUAAUCGUGGAUCAGCACUGCCACGGUGAAUACGUUCCCGGGCCUUGCACACACCGCCCGUCACACCACGAAAGUCGGUUCUGCCCGAAGUGGUUGAGCUAACCCGCAAGG